RNAcentral lists this ribosomal RNA (253 nucleotides) under uncultured bacterium. RNAcentral describes it as "partial 16S ribosomal RNA". It matches the Rfam family "Bacterial small subunit ribosomal RNA", at positions 524 to 776 of the family's 1533-position model. The record is from RNAcentral.
UACGUAGGGGGCGAGCGUUGUCCGGAGUUACUGGGCGUAAAGCGCUUGUAGGCGGUCCACCAAGUUUGGGGUGACAGUUGCCGACUUAAUCGGCAAAGUGCCUCAAAGACUGGCGGACUUGAGGGCCACAGAGGGACAUGGAACUCCAGGUGUAGUGGUGAAAUGUGUUGAUAUCGGAAGGAACGCCGGUGGCGAAAGCGACACACUGGGUCUCAACUGACGCUGAGGCACGAAAGCCAGGGGAGCGAACGGG